This is a non-coding RNA of Xyrichtys novacula (pearly razorfish), 410 nucleotides long. NCBI's taxonomy places the organism in Eukaryota, Metazoa, Chordata, Actinopteri, Labriformes, Labridae. The record is from the annotation of a GenBank genome assembly.
GGUUUUUGGCGUUAGGUUUAAAAUCACUGUCCAAAACCUUUGUAGGAACUCUUUUCCAACCUUUUGGAGUUAGUUAAACAAAAAAAAAAAUGAAAAAUGAAAAAAAAAUAUUUGGGGUUUUCAGGCUUCCUAAAAGUAAUAACCGGGUAUUAGGUUUUGGGGCUAUGGUAAGGUUAAAGGUUUUUGGCAUUAGGGUUAAAAUCACUGUCCAAAGCCCUUGUAGGAACUCUUUUCCAACCUUUUGGAGUUGGUUACACCAACAAAAAUUUAAAAUGAAGAAAAAAAAUAUUUUGGGUUUUCUGGCUUCCUGAAUGGAAUACCCGGGUAUUAUGUUUUGGGGCUAGGGAAAGGUUUAAGGUUUUUGGCGUUAGGGUUAAAAUCACUGUCCAAAAACUUUGUAGGAACUCUUU